CUCUAACAUUGUCACCACCAAGUCCAUGCUGGUUCCACCGGUGAGAGAUGGGAGCCACGUGACCGGAGAAAACUAGAAGAAACGGUGGAAGCGAGCCUAGUUCGUAAAUCCUCUCUCUUCUCUGAAUCUCCAUCCAUUUCUCGAUACGUUUCGUGUAACCACCUCUUCUCCAUUUCUUAAGAUCUAUCACCAUCACACCUGUGUUGAAGUAACAUGGCUUCCUCCCUCUAAAGGUACCGGAGAAUCUCUCCUCCGACCAGAAUCCUCCGGUGAAGUAUUUCGUGAAAUUCGCGUGACAAUACUCCGGAGCUCCGAUUAUCCUCGAG
Molecule: long non-coding RNA, 326 nt
Filed under: Arabidopsis thaliana (thale cress)
Lineage: Eukaryota; Viridiplantae; Streptophyta; Magnoliopsida; Brassicales; Brassicaceae
Description: long non-coding RNA (ATHA_LNC000220)
Source: RNAcentral